AGCAUUGUGGUUUAAUUCGACGCUACGCGAAGAACCUUACCUGGGCUUGAACUGCUGGAGGUAGGAGCCCGAAAGGGUGACGACCCGGAGCAAUCCGGGAACCAGCAGAGGUGCUGCAUGGCUGUCGUCAGCUCGUGUCGCGAGAUGUUGGGUUAAGUCCCCGCAACGAGCGCAACCCUUGCCAUUAGUUGCUACGAAAGGGCACUCUAAUGGGACUGCCGGUGACAAACCGGAGGAAGGUGGGGAUGACGUCAAGUCCUCAUGGCCCUUAUAGGUGGGGCUACACACGUCAUACAAUGGCCGGUACAGAGGGUAGGCCAACCCGCGAGGGGGAGCCAAUCCCACAAAGCCGGUCGUAGUCCGGAUCGCAGUCUGCAACUCGACUGCGUGAAGUCGGAAUCGCUAGUAAUCGCGGAUCAGCAUGUCGCGGUGAAUACGUUCCCGGGUCUU
RNAcentral lists this ribosomal RNA (450 nucleotides) under uncultured Allobrachymonas sp. RNAcentral describes it as "bacterial SSU rRNA". It matches the Rfam family "Bacterial small subunit ribosomal RNA", at positions 936 to 1382 of the family's 1533-position model. Lineage: Bacteria; Pseudomonadati; Pseudomonadota; Betaproteobacteria; Burkholderiales; Comamonadaceae. The record is from RNAcentral.